UAGGGAAUCUUCCGCAAUGGGCGAAAGCCUGACGGAGCAAUGCCGCGUGAGUGAAGAAGGCCUUCGGGUCGUAAAACUCUGUUAUAAGAGAAGAACAAAUUGUAGAGUAACUGCUACAGUCUUGACGGUAUCUUAUCAGAAAGCCACGGCUAACUACGUGCCAGCAGCCGCGGUAAUACGUAGGUGGCAAGCGUUGUCCGGAUUUAUUGGGCGUAAAGGGAGCGCAGGUGGUUUCUUAAGUCUGAUGUGAAAGCCCACGGCUUAACCGUGGAGGGUCAUUGGAAACUGGGAAACUUGAGUACAGAAGAGGAAUGUGGAACUCCAUGUGUAGCGGUGGAAUGCGUAGAUAUAUGGAAGAACAACAGUGGCGAAGGCGACAUUCUGGUCUGUUACUGACGCUGAGGCUCGAAAGCGUGGGGAGCAAACAGG
RNAcentral lists this ribosomal RNA (429 nucleotides) under Actinomycetes bacterium. RNAcentral describes it as "Actinobacteria bacterium partial 16S ribosomal RNA". It matches the Rfam family "Bacterial small subunit ribosomal RNA", at positions 355 to 776 of the family's 1533-position model. The record is from RNAcentral. Lineage: Bacteria; Bacillati; Actinomycetota; Actinomycetes.